This is a non-coding RNA of Bacillus sp. FJAT-22058, 102 nucleotides long. The record is from Rfam. NCBI's taxonomy places the organism in Bacteria, Bacillati, Bacillota, Bacilli, Caryophanales, Bacillaceae.
AAUAAAAUAUUAAGUUUCACUCGUAUAAUAGCAGGGAUAUGGCCUGCAAGUUUCUACCGGAUUACCGUAAAUAAUUCGACUAUGGGUGAGUAAUAGAUCUUG